UUGUGUAUGUGGAGAGGGAGGUGUGGAUGACGGCCUGCUGAAAAGCUCAGGGGAUCCUGGGGAAUGUGGAAACUCCCAAUUGACUCUGAGUGUUGAACACAAGAUGAGUCAGAUUUUUCUUGAGGAAACAGGUGAAAAACCCGGAAGCUGAGAGCAGGUGUCACGAAGAAAAAAAGCAUUGUAGAACCCUGGGUACAUGGGAUAAAGUUGUUGUAAAUGUUUGUAUGAAAUGGUCAUGCGCUUGCGAGAAAAAGAGAAAAAGGAUGGUUGGGCAUAAGAUGUGGUUGGAAUGGAAUGGAAUGGAAUGGAAUGGAGUCAGUUGUCUGGCUCCCGUGUGUGUAGCAUUUUCCCGGGAAGUGAGAAUGAUUUUGUUUAAACAGAUGUGUAUGAAUUGAGUACUCAUGUGUGAAUGUGUGAAGGUUUCUUGAAGUGUCUGUAUAAAGGUUUUCUGUGGAAAUGUUAUAAGAGAAUUGUUCCCCGGUGCUGUUUAAAACAUCUCUGCUUGCUGCCUUUGUUUUUCACAAGACUUAAAGAACCUAAUCUGUUCCUUUAGCAAUCUUUGAAGUUAGUGUGAAGGGAUUUGCUCUGUUUGUUUAAGCAAGUGAUUAAGAGAGCUGAGGAACAGGGAGUAUAGAGAUGGUCCUCUUCCCUAGGCUAAAGUAGACAGAAGGUUUGAGCUACGUAGACAGUGAAAGAGAAUGGGUGAGAAAUGUUUUGGGCAAAGUCGUGGAUUGUUUUAGGAUGAAGAAAAGAGAAUACAUUCCUUUUUGCUCUGCUCCAGUCCUAGUUUCAGUUUCAUCCUUUCAGUAAAGGGGCGAAGCUGCUGCCUGUUUUGCCGUCUGCAGUUAAAGCAAAGAAACACAGAUGCCCUCUCAACCAUGGGACCCUGAUGCUUUGUUUUCCUCAGAAGGACUGUUUUUAAAGGAUCUGAUGAAUUCCCACCCCGACAUGCCAGUGGGACUUGGAGAUCUUUCCAGGAGCAGCUAACCAAAGGCUGUUAUUGCCUCUGCCCAUGCCAGUGGGAGAAAAGGCAUUUCUAAAAGUCACACAGGGCAAGGU
Rhineura floridana is the source of this 1059-nucleotide long non-coding RNA. RefSeq lists it as uncharacterized. NCBI's taxonomy places the organism in Eukaryota, Metazoa, Chordata, Lepidosauria, Squamata, Rhineuridae. The transcript is spliced from 2 exons. The record is from RefSeq and is a predicted model, not a curated record.